This 318-nucleotide ribosomal RNA is filed under the name Thalassiothrix antarctica. RNAcentral describes it as "partial Bacterial small subunit ribosomal RNA". It matches the Rfam family "Bacterial small subunit ribosomal RNA", at positions 597 to 917 of the family's 1533-position model. Lineage: Eukaryota; Bacillariophyta; Fragilariophyceae; Thalassionematales; Thalassionemataceae. The record is from RNAcentral.
AAAUCUCUCAGCUUAACUGGGAAACUGCCAUUGAUACUGUUAGUCUUGAAUUCGGUCGAAGUGGGCGGAAUGUGUCAUGUAGCGGUGAAAUGCAUAGAUAUGACACAGAACACCGAUAGCGAAGGCAGCUCACUAGGCCUGAAUUGACGCUCAGGGACGAAAGCGUGGGGAGCGAACAGGAUUAGAUACCCUGGUAGUCCACGCCGUAAACGAUCAUUACUCGAUAUCAGCGAUAUACAGUUGGUGUCUAAGCGAAAGUGAUAAGUAAUGCACCUGGGGAGUACGAUCGCAAGGUUGAAACUCAAAGGAAUUGACGGG